GUCCAUGGGGACUACAGUAACAAAAGAGGCCAUGAAAUGUCUCUCUCUGAAUCCAUGUGGAACAGGAAGUGACGAUUCUUUUGACCAAUCCAAAGACUGCAGUGCCUGUUAUAUUGAUAUUUGUUCCCUGUUUUAUAGAUUUUAAAUGUAGCUGUCACAGAAAAUUAUAUUUCUUUGAACAGGAUUUUGUUAUAAUUACAGAGAAAAUGUUUUAUUUUGAAAUGUGUUCAGAUUCUAUGCUCUGUUACUGACACCUACUGGUCUAAUUGUGUAUUGCGCUGAGUGUUCAGCAUGCAGUGUUCACAUGUUUAAUUGAAGCAAUAAAACGUGCUGCCAGAAGCUAGUACCAACGGUAGGACACAGAUGAAGGAGACGCGUCUGAAGAACUUUAAAAGACUGCAAAGCCUAAACAUGUGUGGUUAGAAGGUGCACACGUUUUUCACGGUGUUUGCUGACAAAAGGAAAAGAAUAAAUAUUGGUGAAACAUCAGUUGGAGCGUGGCUGAUCUGUACCAGAUGAAGAAACUUUGGGAGCAGUUAUAUUAAAUAUUUUUUAAGUGAAUAGAAUCCUUUUUAUUGUUUUAAUAUCUUCACUUUUGUUUUAAUUUCAGGUCUAAGUCAGUAGUCUGAACCUUUAUUCAUGAUACAGGAGUCACCCUGCUGAUGGAGGGAUGAACAUUUUAAAAGAAAGACUCUGUUGUUACCAGUUACAGUGUAAUGUCGCCCCCUAGAGGCUGCAGAGUGCAUCACAUGUCUAAUCUUCCUGGUACGAGGAGUGGCCUUUUUGUCUUUGAGUAUAAAUGAGUUUUAACCUCAAAUGAAAAGUGAAUCUUUGUUUAUCUGAUGAUGAAGACAGAGGUUAGUUUGACCUCUUCACCAACUCUUCAGGCGGUGCUGGGAUCAGGAAGCUUUCAGAGAUGUGAGGAGCAGGAGGCAGGACUUUUCCUACGAUAUUCUCAGCAGAAGAUCAGCAUCAAACUGUCACAUCACGCCAUGGCACGUUUUUUUAUAGACUCUCAUUUUGGAGCAGACGAGGUGCAGGUGAAGCAGAGACAUGCAGCUUUGUUUUGGUGCGUUUGCUUGUUCAAACUUUGUUUCAGCAGGAGGACUCAGGAGACAUUUGGAGGAGCAGAGGUGAGGCGUCAUGAGUGACAACUGACAACCAGCUACCAGAGGAAGCAACCAAAGGCUGCAACAAACUCAGGCAACUCACAGGAAACAGUUACUUUAUCUUCAGUGUCAUCGUUUAUCGUUUCUGAGAGCAGAGAGUCGUCUGAACUUUACCAGUUUGUUUUUGAGAGAGAGAGAGAGAGAGAGAGAGAGAGAGAGAAGCAGCAACCACCUAACAUUUGUUUUUAACAAGAAGCAUCUUUCUUCUGCUGUCAUCUCCGAUGCUUUCACUGUGCAGCACCAUGACCUUCAUUUAACCUUCAUUUAACCGUCACCAGGUGUUGUUUUAGGAUCUUUAUCAGACCUGUCGAUCAGGAGAAGAGAGAGGAACUCAGAAACAGACUCUUUCUUUCAUUAUUACAUGGAUCAGGACUGUACAGAGACUUUAGAGUCGGUGACUGGAGCCAGUCCACAGUUUUUUAACCCUUAAUGUGUCCUUUUAUCAAACCUGUCGAUGUGUUGUUGUUUUUUUAUCAUUCCUUCUUUACCUCAGACUGAAACUCAACCAAAGCCCUAACCCUGACAGAGGGAGAUGGUGAAACGUGUCAGUGCUCAUCACCUGCUGCAGCAGUGUGGAGACGUGACAGAUUAUCAGCUUUAAGCGUCUUUAUAUCACAGCUGGUGAUCGGUGUUUCUCUUUUUCUUAUUGAAGCACUGAGUCUUACUUUGGUCUGUUUUCCAGAGCUGUCUUUAUAUUUGCAUGUAUACCAGCAGUAGUAGAAGUGACUAUGAUAAUGAAGUUGGAGUUGUGAUCAGAGUCGUUUCAGACUGAGCUCGCAGGUCGACCCCGUCACCUUGAAUCUGUGUGUCAGACGUUCACAUCACAGACACUCUUCAUCCUUUAAAUAUCCUUUAAGUGUUCAAGCUGUAACUAGAAUUCUCAUAUAAAUGUCAUGCUAUUCAGUCUCAGGUCGUCUCAUUAACAGUGUGUUUAAACAUCCCACCACCAGGGGGCAGCAGAGCCUGAAGAGAGAGUAUCAGCAUCAUAAAACUCAGAUUCAGGUCAAUUCAUCAAAAAACUGUUUUUACAGCAUAAAUGAAUGUUUACAGCCUGUGCUUUGUCUCCAGGCGGUCGCUUCCUGCUGUGAACGCUCUCUACUCAUAGAAAACAGCUGGAGAAAAGAUGCUGGUGCUCAGAAGAAGACGUCAGGUGGACACGGGGCCUUACACAGAGGUCGUUUAUACUCGGCUGGACGGGUCAUUCAAAAAAACAUUUUGGGGAAAAUGAAGAGCAUCCUCACUUCUUCAGCCACCACUUCACUACUGUUGCUAUGUCAACAUUUGAGCUUUGGUCGUCAUGGCAACAUGGCCACCUUGGGGAUGUGGUUUAUUCAGGUUUGAUUAUUGUUUAAGUGGCACGCUACGGACUCCGUACAAAAGCUCAUUAUCAUCAUUAUCUUCUCAGAAGAACAACACAGAACAACAUCUUUUAUUUUAAAGGUGUGACGUCAUCAUGAUUACGUCAUCUUUCUUCUCACUUACAAAACGUUAUCUUAACUUUAAAGUUGAAUAAAGUGAAACUGCUUCAACUG
This is a non-coding RNA of Labrus bergylta (ballan wrasse), 2701 nucleotides long. The record is from RefSeq and is a predicted model, not a curated record. NCBI's taxonomy places the organism in Eukaryota, Metazoa, Chordata, Actinopteri, Labriformes, Labridae.